RNAcentral lists this ribosomal RNA (340 nucleotides) under uncultured cyanobacterium. RNAcentral's name for it is "bacterial SSU rRNA". It matches the Rfam family "Bacterial small subunit ribosomal RNA", at positions 416 to 770 of the family's 1533-position model. Lineage: Bacteria; Bacillati; Cyanobacteriota. The record is from RNAcentral.
UCUUGGGUUGUAAACCUCUUUUCUUAGGGAAGAAAAAAAUGACGGUACCUAAGGAAUCAGCAUCGGCUAACUCCGUGCCAGCAGCCGCGGUAAUACGGAGGAUGCAAGCGUUAUCCGGAAUGAUUGGGCGUAAAGCGUCCGCAGGUGGCAUUUCAAGUCUGCGGUUAAAGGUUCUGGCUCAACCAGAGACAAGCCGUGGAAACUGAAAAGCUAGAGUAUGGUAGGGGCAGAGGGAAUUCCCAGUGUAGCGGUGAAAUGCGUAGAGAUUGGGAAGAACACCGGUGGCGAAAGCGCUCUGCUAGGCCAAAACUGACACUGAGGGACGAAAGCUAGGGGAGCG